Molecule: ribosomal RNA, 397 nt
Filed under: uncultured bacterium
Lineage: Bacteria
Description: partial 16S ribosomal RNA
Rfam family: Bacterial small subunit ribosomal RNA
Source: RNAcentral
AUACGUAGGUGGCAAGCGUUGUCCGGAAUGAUUGGGCGUAAAGGGCGCGUAGGCGGCCCGGUAAGUCUGGAGUGAAAGUCCUGUUUUUAAGAUGGGAAUUGCUUUGGAUACUGUCGGGCUUGAGUGCAGGAGAGGUAAGUGGAAUUCCCAGUGUAGCGGUGAAAUGCGUAGAGAUUGGGAGGAACACCAGUGGCGAAGGCGACUUACUGGGCCGUAACUGACGCUGAGGCGCGAAAGCGUGGGGAGCGAACAGGAUUAGAUACCCUGGUAGUCCACGCGGUAAACGAUGAAUGCUAGGUGUUGCGGGUAUCGACCCCUGCAGUGCCGGAGUAAACACAAUAAGCAUUCCGCCUGGGGAGUACGGCCGCAAGGUUGAAACUCAAAUGAAUUGACGGGG